This 250-nucleotide ribosomal RNA is filed under the name uncultured bacterium. RNAcentral's name for it is "partial 16S ribosomal RNA". It matches the Rfam family "Bacterial small subunit ribosomal RNA", at positions 524 to 773 of the family's 1533-position model. The record is from RNAcentral.
UACGGAGGAUCCAAGCGUUAUCCGGAUUUAUUGGGUUUAAAGGGUGCGUAGGCGGUCUGUUAAGUUAGAGGUGAAAUCCCGGUGCUCAACACCGGAACUGCCUCUGAUACUGGCAGGCUAGAGUAUAGUUGCUGUGGGCGGAAUGUAUGGUGUAGCGGUGAAAUGCUUAGAGAUCAUACAGAACACCGAUUGCGAAGGCAGCUCACAAAGCUAUUACUGACGCUGAGGCACGAAAGCGUGGGGAGCAAAC